Equus caballus (horse) is the source of this 2083-nucleotide long non-coding RNA. Lineage: Eukaryota; Metazoa; Chordata; Mammalia; Perissodactyla; Equidae. The record is from Ensembl.
GCAUUUAUUCUGCUCAACGACACUAUGUUGUUUUUCUUAUUCCUAUAUUACAGAGGAGGAAACUGGGGCAAGGAGAGCAAUGGCCAUGGCACACGUGGUAAAGGUGGGAGCACUAACUUUCAUCCUGAUAGUCUCUCUUAAACUCAAAGGUAGAGGGUGCUACACAGCACUCCAGUAGCUUUAAGUUUAGUGGAGAAGAUAUGACCUACACAGAUGAUGGUAACACAAAGCAGUAGGCAGUGGGUUACAAGUGUCCUAAUAAAAGCACGAAGUACUGUAGGAGUUCCAAAAAAGAAGAAAAAAUAGCUUCUGGAGGGGAUGGGGUUUAACCCCGGACUUCUGGAGAGGUAAUUCAUGUGUCUUAGCAAUUGAAAGGGAGAGGAAAGCAUGAGGGGAUUUAGGGGAAUAGCAGUUAAGAUUCAUACUAGGGCUGAACAAGAUAUGAGACCUGUAACGUAGACGGCUGCUGGGUUAGGGAGGGCUCAGAGUUGGGUGUCCCUCUUCGUUCAAGAGGUGUUGUGAGGAAGGAGCAAGGCAGAAACCACAGGCAAGCUUUUCAAAGUCUGCAUUGAAGAAAUGGAGGUCAACCGUCUGACCCAGGGGAAGAACUUAAGGAGUUUAGAAAGGGAAGCAAUUUGGGGGUACAAAUGCAGUACAGCAGGAGCCAAGUUGGGGCUGGAAGCUGAGCCAUGAGGUAGGAGCCAAAAUAGGGAUGAGGUAAAGGGAAAUGAGGCAGCAGGAGACAAGGAGGGGGGCAGAGUAAUUCCAGGGCACAGAGGUUUUGGGGCAAGACUGCUCUGGGAAGUGUGAUCUCGUGACUUCUCUCUAAUUCUCUGGGAUAUCCAAAAAGUACUCCCUGGGUACUCACCCUAGGCCAGGGAAAUAUGACCCAGCGGUGCCUGAGCGAGACAAUCUGGCAGAGGCCAGCGUAGUUCAGAGAGCAGGAAGCUCCGGGCAGUGAGGGGGCCCCCUAGCUGCGCCCUCACCGGGUAACUGCUUCUAAAGGGACUUCUGGGAACUAAAUUGUGGCAGUAGACUCAGUAAUGAUGCGAUAAUUGACUGAUUCAGAGGGAAAAGGGUGAAGGAGAAUGAGGAGACAUGCGAAUUUGUGGCUUUGAGUCUGCAUGGCAAGGAGAAUGGCAACGGUAUUGACAGAAGUACCAGCAAGAUGAACUGAUUCAGGGAAUCAUGGGAUCAGUUUUAGAUACUGAGUGAGGCAUAAAGGCGAGCCUUCAAGGUGGGAAAUAUCUUGCAGAGAAGAGAAAAUUCUGGACAGAAAUUCUGGAGAGAGCUGGGAGCUGGGGGUAUGCACGCCUAUCGAGUGACUGUGUCUAUUUAGGAAGACCGUGUGGAGAGAGAAAGAGAAUUAAGGACAGAGGAAGGAUGUCUACCUUCUGAGGAAGGACAGUCAACAAAGGAAACUGCGGGAUGGUCUGAAGGGAAGGAGGGCUCCACUGAAGCCAAAAGCUUCCAGAAAACAAGGAGGACGAAGAAUGGAAAUAGCUUCUUGGCUUCCUUGCUGGGAAGUGACCUCCACUUGCCCAUCUUCUUAUACAAAUGAUGAACUUCCCUCGAGGCAUUACUUCUUCUAUGGAGUUUUUCUGACUAUUCCAUCCUUCACGUAUUCCCCAUUCCUUAGGAUUCCUGCGGUACUUAGAGACUGCAAGUAUAUUCAGCCUUUGUGGACACGUCCCUGCAUUUCACUGCAGGCGGCACCUCGCAAGCCUCCCAGCUGGAUGGAGGCAGCUUGACAGCUUUGCUCCUCACCUCAGGGAUUACACCAACAGUCUCCUAACUGGGAGCUAUGCCCAGCUGGAAGUCCCCAGUGCUGUGUUCUCCUCAAGGGAUCAGCAUGAUUUUUAAAUGUAAAUCACAUCAUAUGACAACCCUGCUUCAAACUGCCAUGGCUUUCCAUUACACUUGGAAACAUAAUCCCGGCUCUCAGAUUCCGGCCGGCAGUCAGCCCUGAGCCCUCCUCCCAGGCCUUUCUCUCCCUCCACUCCCCCAUCACUCACACACUCAGCAACUCUGGCUGUUUCUGUCUCAGGGUCUUCAAACUUUCCAUUCCUUAUUCUUUAAAUGU